GCAGAUGGUGUGGUGGAGAGAGGACAGGGGAGAAAGUGGGUUGCUGAGCCAGAGGGCAGGAAGGAACGGGCUGGAGGAACAGCUCGCUUCAGAAAAAAAUGUGGGUACUUUCCACCAGAAAGCUGGCAUCUCACCAGGCAGUCCUCAGGUCUGCUGGGAGAGGAUACCGCUGUUUCCAUUCCUGCUGCAGGGUGCUUUGGCUCCCAGGUAUUGCCAGAUCACUUCCAGAGUUAUGGCAAAGAAAUAUUCGUAUAAACUGAUCCUGGCAUUGGAUUCUGAUCUGAAUUUCUUUAUCCUCAGCUCCAGAAUGUAAGCUGUCCUCAUGCUUCUCUUUUUUCCACAGACUGUUAAACUAAGAAGAUGUUGGAUAAUGGAAAAUUUCUAACUUUUUUUUCCAUCAGUUUAAGCAUUGUCACCCCACCUCAAGUCCCUCCUCCCCCAAUAAUCCAGUUAUUAUAUGUAUAUCUAAUCCAUUAAUUCAUUUCAUUUAUAAGAAAAGAUAAAAACACGAAAAGAUUAAAAUGAAUUGAUGUUCUCUGCCACACCCAGCCCAACACAUGCUCAGUCCAAGUUCUGAUACUAAAUCUUACUUCUCCAUUCAUAGAGUCACAUCAUAGAAUCAAAGAAACAGAGAACUGUUAAGGUUGGAAAAGAACUCUGAGACCAUCAAG
This 671-nucleotide long non-coding RNA is filed under the name Gallus gallus (chicken). RNAcentral describes it as "lncRNA (ENSGALG00010012446.1)". Lineage: Eukaryota; Metazoa; Chordata; Aves; Galliformes; Phasianidae. The record is from RNAcentral.